Molecule: ribosomal RNA, 377 nt
Filed under: uncultured bacterium
Lineage: Bacteria
Description: bacterial SSU rRNA
Rfam family: Bacterial small subunit ribosomal RNA
Source: RNAcentral
UAAUACAGAGGUGGCAAGCGUUGUUCGGAAUUACUGGGCGUAAAGGGCGCGUAGGCGGUUCGAUAAGUCCCGUGUGAAAGCCCCCGGCUCAACUGGGGAACUGCACGGGAAACUGACGGACUUGAGUUCGGGAGAGGGAAGCGGAAUUCCGGGUGUAGCGGUGAAAUGCGUAGAUAUCCGGAGGAACACCGGUGGCGAAGGCGGCUUCCUGGACCGACACUGACGCUGAGGCGCGAAAGCUAGGGGAGCAAACGGGAUUAGAUACCCCGGUAGUCCUAGCUGUAAACGAUGAGCGCUGGGUGUAGGGGGUGUUAACCCCUCCUGUGCCGAAGCUAACGCAUUAAGCGCUCCGCCUGGGGAGUACGGUCGCAAGGCUG